Long non-coding RNA from Talpa occidentalis (Iberian mole), 1547 nucleotides. RefSeq lists it as uncharacterized. The record is from RefSeq and is a predicted model, not a curated record. Lineage: Eukaryota; Metazoa; Chordata; Mammalia; Eulipotyphla; Talpidae. The transcript is spliced from 3 exons.
AAAGAACUAUUUGCCUUCCAUGGGUCUGCAGAAUGUUCAUGAAGUCACCUGUGAUGAAACAUCUACAGGACUUUGGAGAGGAGAGUGUGAACAUAGCCCCCCCACUACCACAAAUGAUGCUGUCGUAUUUCCCAUAUUUGGGAAGAUCCCACAUUUGGGGGAAAUCACCGGGGUCAGCACAUCUGGAGUGCAAUGGAUGAGCCAGCCCUGGAAAACCCACCUUUGUGAUCAUGGUUCUCCCCCACCAGGCCGACUCUGAUUGGAUAGGACGACUUUCAUAUCUGGAAAAGUAAACACUAAGAAAAAAAAAAUCUGAAGCCUUAAUUCAAAAGAAGGGGGAGGCCGAGCUGAGGAUAAUCCAGGAACAUCCAGGAUUUGGGAGGAGCCUACCGAAGUGAAGAAGACAAAAAUAAAAGGAGGAAGUGAGGCGGCAGGAAGUAAAAGGUAAAGGAAGGGGAUGUGGAGAGGCGCCUGAUUCUCUCCCGAGCAUGCGUGAAGUUGUGCCGGUAGCUUGUCCUGGCCCCUGUUCUCUGGCAAGGCAUGCCCGGUGAAUGCAGAGUCCAACAGAGACGUGGGGUCGCCAGGCUGUUUCCUUCUUCAUCUCCAUGGUGGCACCACACCCAGAUUCCUUUCUUGUCAAACUUGUUUCCAGUCACCAAGUCCUCUAGUCUACGACCUCUUGGUCAAACCGUCUGUUACCCAGGACACAAAUAGAUCGAGGGUGUCAGAUGACGUGGUAGUUCGGUGGAGAGAAGACAGUUGGAGCGGACCCUGCCUUGCCUGCAGGCUCCUCCUUGCCCCCACCUCCUGCACCUUUAAAAGUAACUCCUCUUUUGCCGCCUUUGUCUGUCUGAAUCCCUUAAGUCACUGGGGGCCCAUGGGUGUGACUCAUACUUCUUUUUAUCUCUGUGCUUUGGCGUUUUCAUGCUCUCUUGGGAGCUGACUGGUAGAACAUUUGCGUCAGUUCUACUUUUCAGGGGGAUGGGGGCCACAAAAUUGGGUGACGCCCCAACUUGAACUGUAUUGCUCUAUAGGAAUGACAUGAAUACUGUGUGUCCUGUGUCAUUCUGUCUUGUGACACUACAUGAAGUGGUGAGCAUCCUGUGACCACAUCUGGAACUCAAAGCCACUUCUCCUGGAACCCAUUAAUGUCCACUAAUACGCUUACACAGUCCUCGCCACAUGCCUGAUGCCUGCUCAGUCUCUGCAAACCUUGUUCCCCAGAUGGUAUCCUCUGCCCCCUGGCAAAAAUUGCCAGGGUCACUCCACAAGCUGUGAACACACCAAAGGAAAGGAGUGCCAUGUGAAGGAGCUAAGACCUGUUCCUGAGUGACAGAAUGAUGCAGCCCCACCACCCCACCCAUGCACACCACAGUCACUUUCUCACAGCCCUAAGUACAAAGAUUGGGGUAUAAGCACCCAGUGAAAAACUCCUUUGCUUCCUUGAACAGGUCAGAAUGGGAUCCAAACGGGGGUUACCUUUCAAAAAAAUAUUUACUGAGAGAUUAUUAUGGGUCAGGCAUUGCAUUUUGAAUAAAGCGACUGUU